RNAcentral lists this ribosomal RNA (569 nucleotides) under uncultured bacterium. RNAcentral describes it as "bacterial SSU rRNA". It matches the Rfam family "Bacterial small subunit ribosomal RNA", at positions 28 to 598 of the family's 1533-position model. The record is from RNAcentral.
GACGAACGCUGGCGGCGCGCCUAACACAUGCAAGUCGAGCGGGAAACUUUUUAAGGAUUCUUCGGAUGAAUUAAAAAGUGGAGAGCGGCGGACGGGUGAGUAACGCGUGAGAAACCUGCCCUAUACAGGGGGAUAGCCAUUGGAAACGAUGAUUAAUACCCCAUAUGACCACAGUAUCGCAUGAUACAGCGGUGAAAACUCCGGUGGUAUAGGAUGGUCUCGCGUCUGAUUAGCUAGUUGGUGGGGUAACGGCCUACCAAGGCGACGAUCAGUAGCCGGCCUGAGAGGGUGACCGGCCACACUGGAACUGAGACACGGUCCAGACUCCUACGGGAGGCAGCAGUGGGGAAUAUUGCACAAUGGGCGAAAGCCUGAUGCAGCGACGCCGCGUGAACGAUGAAGGCUUUCGAGUCGUAAAGUUCUGUUCUUGGGGAAGAUAACGACGGUACCCAAGGAGAAAGCACCGGCUAAAUACGUGCCAGCAGCCGCGGUAAUACGUAUGGUGCAAGCGUUGUCCGGAAUUACUGGGCGUAAAGAGUUCGUAGGCGGUUAGAUUAGUCAGAAGUGAA